AGAGUUUGAUCAUGGCUCAGGACGAACGCUGGCGGCGUGCUUAACACAUGCAAGUCGAGGGCACCCAGCAAUGGGUGACCGGCGAACGGGUGCGUAACACGUGAGGAACCUGCCGCGCCCCGGGGGAUAGCCGGCCCAACGGCCGGGUAAUACCGCAUACGCUCGCUCGAGGGCAUCCCCGGGCGAGGAAACUUCCGGGGGGGCGCGAGGGGCUCGCGGCCUAUCAGCUCGUUGGCGGUGUAAAGGACCACCAAGGCGACGACGGGUAGCUGGCCUGAGAGGGUGGCCAGCCACAUUGGGACUGAGAGACGGCCCAGACUCCUACGGGAGGCAGCAGUGGGGAAUCUUGCGCAAUGGCCGCAAGGCUGACGCAGCGACGCCGCGUGCGGGAGGACGCCCCUCGGGGUGUAAACCGCUGUUGCCCGGGACGAACAGUCUCUUUCGAGGGACCUGACGGUACCGGGUGAGGAAGCGCCGGCUAACUCCGUGCCAGCAGCGGCGGUAAUAC
Molecule: ribosomal RNA, 508 nt
Filed under: uncultured bacterium
Lineage: Bacteria
Description: bacterial SSU rRNA
Rfam family: Bacterial small subunit ribosomal RNA
Source: RNAcentral